This 254-nucleotide ribosomal RNA is filed under the name uncultured bacterium. Its description in RNAcentral is "partial 16S ribosomal RNA". It matches the Rfam family "Bacterial small subunit ribosomal RNA", at positions 524 to 776 of the family's 1533-position model. The record is from RNAcentral.
UACGUAGGGGGCAAGCGUUGUCCGGAAUUAUUGGGCGUAAAGAGCGUGUAGGCGGUCCGGUAAGUCGGCUGUGAAAGUCCAGGGCUCAACCCUGGGAUGCCGGUCGAUACUGCCGGACUAGAGUGCGGAAGGGGCAAUCGGAAUUCUCGGUGUAGCGGUGAAAUGCGUAGAUAUCGAGAGGAACACCAGAGGUGAAGACGGGUUGCUGGGCCGACACUGACGCUGACAGCGCGAAAGCCAGGGGAGCAAACGGG